GAUGAACGCUGGCGGCGUGCCUAAUACAUGCAAGUCGAGCGAACGGACGAGAAGCUUGCUUCUCUGAUGUUAGCGGCGGACGGGUGAGUAACACGUGGAUAACCUACCUAUAAGACUGGGAUAACUUCGGGAAACCGGAGCUAAUACCGGAUGAUAUUUUGAACCGCAUGGUUCAAAAGUGAAAGACGGUCUUGCUGUCACUUAUAGAUGGAUCCGCGCUGCAUUAGCUAGUUGGUAAGGUAACGGCUUACCAAGGCAACGAUGCAUAGCCGACCUGAGAGGGUGAUCGGCCACACUGGAACUGAGACACGGUCCAGACUCCUACGGGAGGCAGCAGUAGGGAAUAUUGCGCAAUGGGCGAAAGCCUGACGGAGCAACGCCGCGUGAGUGAUGAAGGUCUUCGGAUCGUAAAACUCUGUUAUUAGGGAAGAAGAUAUGUGUAAGUAACUGUGCACGUCUUGACGGUACCUAAUCAGAAAGCCACGGCUAACUACGUG
RNAcentral lists this ribosomal RNA (497 nucleotides) under uncultured bacterium. RNAcentral's name for it is "partial 16S ribosomal RNA". It matches the Rfam family "Bacterial small subunit ribosomal RNA", at positions 28 to 507 of the family's 1533-position model. The record is from RNAcentral.